GACGUAGGGUGCAAGCGUUGUCCGGAUUUACUGGGCGUAAAGAGCGCGUAGGCGGCUCGUUAAGUGAGAAGUGAAAGCUGUGGGCUCAACCCACAAACCGCUUUUCAUACUGGCGAGCUGGAGUGAUGCAGAGGUGGAUAGAAUUCCCGGUGUAGCGGUGAAAUGCGUUGAUAUCGGGAGGAAUACCCGUGGCGAAGGCGGUCCACUGGGCAUCAACUGACGCUGAGGCGCGAAAGCGUGGGGAGCGAACAGG
This 253-nucleotide ribosomal RNA is filed under the name uncultured bacterium. RNAcentral's name for it is "partial 16S ribosomal RNA". It matches the Rfam family "Bacterial small subunit ribosomal RNA", at positions 524 to 776 of the family's 1533-position model. The record is from RNAcentral.